Tachysurus fulvidraco (yellow catfish) is the source of this 1152-nucleotide RNA transcript. It is a transcript of the gene named sentrin-specific protease 2-like, with no coding region annotated. The transcript is spliced from 5 exons. The record is from RefSeq and is a predicted model, not a curated record. Lineage: Eukaryota; Metazoa; Chordata; Actinopteri; Siluriformes; Bagridae.
CUACUAGACAUGCGCGGAACCGAUCGUGUUGCUGUUGAUUCAUUUACUCAAACUGUUUAGAACGAAUCAGUCCGAUUUGGUGAACCGGUUCAUCCAGUUCACUAAAAAGAACCGGUUCAAAAGAACGAUUCGUUCACUAGUUGCUGCUGUUUCACUUGCGCUGGCAACUCACAUGGAUAAUGACGGAGAAAUACAAGCAAAGCUACGAUGGAGAAUGAAGGACAAAACAGUCAUACAGGUCGAUAAGCAAGUUACCUUUUCUUUUCAACAAGAAUCAGUACAGAACUGUGCUUUAAAGAAACUGUUGUUCAAGAAUCUGACAUGACAUGGCAUCAGAGGUGAAGGAUAUUCUGGCACUACAAGACCCAAACCUGGUGAUCAGCAAAGCCUUCAAACUGUGUAUUACACAGGGUGACUUGGCCACACCGAAGGAGGGUUGCUGGCUUAAUGACAAGGUUAUCGACUUCUAUUUGCCUUUGCUAAUGAAGUGAUCAUCUGGGAGCCUUAGUCUUCUCUUACAGCACUUUUUUCUACCCAAAGCUCCAGAGUGGUGAAGGUAAUGCAGCAGUGACGAACUGGACAAAAACUCAGGACCUCUUCGUCUUGGAUCUUGUUUUUGUUCCUUUGCACCUAGGCAUGCACUGAGCUUUGGCUAAAGUACCUCACAAAGGAGCAAAGGGUCAAGAAAGGAUGCAUCUUGGAGGCUUGCAGAUGGACCAUCGGCCGAAUGAGAACUUCUGUAUGACACCAUAUGAUGAAUUUUAUGGGUCUUCUCUGAAUUACGUGUCAUUUUAAGACUAAAUGUUCUGCUAUUGUGUCUAGGCAAUUCCUAAACAGUUGAAUGGCAAUGACUGUGGUGUUUUUGUCUGUAAAUAUGCAGACUUCCUUUCUCAAGGAAAGCCAUUCACAUUCUGAUAGGUACAAUGGUGCUCCUGUUCACACAUUUAAUCCUCAAACAUUUCAUUAUGCUCCUGAUUCAUCUGUCUCUUUCUCUGUGGUGUGACGUCCCACUCUUCAGAAAAGUGAUGGUUUGGGAGAUAGUACAUCAGAAGAUCCUGUAAGCCCUGAAGCAACCAGUCCUUCAAAGAUAAUGAAACAUCUUAUGUUCUUUUUGCGUAAAUUAAAUUUUGUAUGAAACUAUGAAUAAUUGCA